GAAGGGACCUAGCGUAGUUCGGAAUUACUGGGCUUAAAGAGUUCGUAGGUGGUUGAAAAAGUUGGUGGUGAAAUCCCAGAGCUUAACUCUGGAACUGCCAUCAAAACUUUUCAGCUAGAGUAUGAUAGAGGAAAGCAGAAUUUCUAGUGUAGAGGUGAAAUUAGUAGAUAUUAGAAAGAAUACCAAUUGCGAAGGCAGCUUUCUGGAUCAUUACUGACACUGAGGAACGAAAGCAUGGGUAGCGAAGAGGAUUAGAUACCCUCGUAGUCCAUGCCGUAAACGAUGUGUGUUAGACGUUGGAAUUAUUUUCAGUGUCGCAGGGAACCGAUAAACACACCGCCUGG
RNAcentral lists this ribosomal RNA (344 nucleotides) under uncultured marine bacterium pC8-54. Its description in RNAcentral is "bacterial SSU rRNA". It matches the Rfam family "Bacterial small subunit ribosomal RNA", at positions 527 to 876 of the family's 1533-position model. Lineage: Bacteria; Pseudomonadati; Pseudomonadota; Alphaproteobacteria; Candidatus Pelagibacterales. The record is from RNAcentral.